AACGAACGCUGGCGGCAUGCCUAACACAUGCAAGUCGAACGAGACCUUCGGGUCUAGUGGCGCACGGGUGCGUAACGCGUGGGAACCUGCCCUUAGGUUCGGAAUAACUCCCCGAAAGGGGUGCUAAUACCGGAUAAUGUCUUCGGACCAAAGAUUUAUCGCCUUUGGAUGGGCCCGCGUUGGAUUAGCUAGUUGGUAGGGUAAAAGCCUACCAAGGCGACGAUCCAUAGCUGGUCUGAGAGGAUGAUCAGCCACACUGGGACUGAGACACGGCCCAGACUCCUACGGGAGGCAGCAGUGGGGUAUAUUGGACAAUGGGCGAAGGCCUGAUCCAGCAAUGCCGCGUGAGUGAUGAAGGCCUUAGGGUUGUAAAGCUCUUUUACCCGGGAUGAUAAUGACAGUACCGGGAGAAUAAGCUCCGGCUAACUCCGUG
Molecule: ribosomal RNA, 433 nt
Filed under: uncultured bacterium
Lineage: Bacteria
Description: partial 16S ribosomal RNA
Rfam family: Bacterial small subunit ribosomal RNA
Source: RNAcentral